RNAcentral lists this ribosomal RNA (1529 nucleotides) under Zasmidium cellare. Its description in RNAcentral is "SSU rRNA". It matches the Rfam family "Bacterial small subunit ribosomal RNA". The record is from RNAcentral. Lineage: Eukaryota; Fungi; Ascomycota; Dothideomycetes; Mycosphaerellales; Mycosphaerellaceae.
UUUUUAUUGAGUUUGAUGAUGGCUCUGAUUGAACGCUGUCCAAAGGCUUGACACAUGCUAAUCAUACAUUAUUUAAUAUAUUUAUCUAUUAAUAGGUAAUUUAUAAAAGUAAGGUGGUGUAAAGGUGAGUAUAUAUUAUUUUACUGCCUUAAAGUAAGGAUAAAAUACCUUAUAAAACAAAAAUAUACUAAUUUAUAGUUUUUUUGAUAGAAAGAAAAAUUAUUUCGCUUUAAGAUGUUUAUAAUGUAAUCAAGUUAGUAGUAGUUAAGGUCAUGACUUAACUAGCUAAUUCUUGUAGUCAUAACUGAGAGGUUUAUUGACCACAUUGGGUCUGAAAAAACCCCAAUAUGUACAGUACAGCAGUGAGGAAUAUUGGUCAAUGGCCUAACGGCCGAACCAGCAAUUUGGGGGAAUGUAAGUAUGUAUAUACAUAUUGACUAUGUCAAAUAAAGUUCUAAAUAGAAGACUGAUAAUGACAAAUUUCUAUUUAUGUGUCUCGACCAAUUCUUGUGCCAGCAGUCGCGGCAACACAAGUGAGACUAGUGUUAUUCAUCUUUAUUAGGUUUAAAGGGUACCUAGACAGUAUUUUAAGCCCCAAAAGGGUACAGACAUACUAGAGUUUUGUAGGAGAGGUAAAUAUUAGGACCAUUGGUGUAGAGAUGAAAUUCUUUGAUACUAAUGGGAUGUAUAAUGGCGAAGGCAAUCCUCUAUAGAUAAACUGACGUUAAGGGACGAAGGCUUGGGGAGCGAAUAGGAUUAGAUACCCUAGUAGUCCAGGCAGAAAAUUAUGAGUGUUAUAUACUAAAUAUAAAAUAAGUGUAUAAAUGAAAGUGUAAGCACUCCACCUCAAGAGUAGUGUGGCAACACAGGAACUGAAAUCAUUAGACCGUUUCUGAAACCAGUAGUGAAGUAUGUUAUUUAAUUCGAUAACCCUCGAAAAACCUUACCACAAUUUGAAUAGUUAAUUUAAAUUUAAUUAUACAUUAAAGCAUUUAAGUUUACUUAAAUGGAGUUAAUUUACAAGUGUUGCACGGCUGUCUUCAGUUAAUGUCGUGAGAUUUUGGUUAGAUCCAUUAAAUUAACGUAAACCCUUACUUUACUAUAAAAUAAAGUAGUUCUCCGCUAUAUUGGAAUAGAUAACAGGGACCAAGACAAGUCAUCAUGACCUUAAUAUUGUGGGCUAUAGACGUGCCACAUAUGUCUGUACAAAGAGAAGCAAAAAUGCAAUUAUUAGCUAUACUCUAAAACAGAAUAUAACAUGAAUUGUAGUCUGAAAUUCGACUGCAUGAAAAAGGAAUUACUAGUAAUCGUGUGUAACCAUAACACGGUGGAUUUAAUCUCAGAUAGGUACUAACCACUCGUCAGGCGCUGAAAGGAGUAUGUGCAAUAAGUUUGAUUUUUUUUAUAUUUUUUCUCUUGUUAACCAGAAUAAGAUAUUUUUUCAAAAAAUUUUCGUAUGCAUGAUUUUGAUUGGUGUUAAGUCGAAAUACGGUUCGUGUAGUGGAAAUUGCACGGGGUUAAUAAACAUA